This 654-nucleotide unclassified non-coding RNA is filed under the name Hevea brasiliensis (rubber tree). Lineage: Eukaryota; Viridiplantae; Streptophyta; Magnoliopsida; Malpighiales; Euphorbiaceae. The record is from RNAcentral.
AAGUGACCAAUUCAUAUCAAAAGGCGAGUAUUUCACUAACUCUACAGAUGUUUUAGAUUAUUAGAUUCUUUUAUUUUGAGGAAGUCCUUUUCAUGCUUUUUGAUUAAUGGCUUAAUUAAAUCUCUUUAGAGAUUGCAACAUUAAAAUGCACAUGCAUAUUCAUUUCCUCCUAUGAGUUUUUAGAAGGUCUUCCAAAUUAGUGAACACAAUUUCGAAGACAGUGCAUCUGUUCAAUUUUGUUCUUAAUGAAUGCCUGCAAACAUUUUAUGAUGGUUUCAAGUUUUUCCAGCUGUGCACUUUGGUUUGGCUGCUUGAACCUUAGUUGAAAGCUGGAAUGGUUGAUUAUAAAACUGUCACCAACUUAGCUGUUUGUCAAGAAAAUGCAAUAGCAUUUGCUUUGGUUUUGUGAAACAGUUGAUUUUUUUUUUCCUAAUGAUUUUUAAAGCAAGUUUAUGUUAUAGUGAUGAUAAAAGGAAAAUUUGGCUUCCUAGAGGAUGAAUUCUGGGUUUUACUUUCUGCACAUCUUAUUCUUCAUACUAGUUUAUUUUUUUGGAUUCUCCACAUGCACAACUUCAGGAAUUUCCCCUCGUACUGGUUUAGUAGUUUGGAUUUUGGGUUUUACUGCUUUAUAGGUUUGAAGUUGCAGAGGCUGGU